Molecule: ribosomal RNA, 468 nt
Filed under: uncultured bacterium
Lineage: Bacteria
Description: partial 16S ribosomal RNA
Rfam family: Bacterial small subunit ribosomal RNA
Source: RNAcentral
GACGAACGCUGGCGGCGUGCUUAACACAUGCAAGUCGAACGGAAAGGCCCUGCUUUUGUGGGGUGCUCGAGUGGCGAACGGGUGAGUAACACGUGAGUAACCUGCCCUUGACUUUGGGAUAACUUCAGGAAACUGGGGCUAAUACCGGAUAGGAGCUCCUGCUGCAUGGUGGGGGUUGGAAAGUUUCGGCGGUUGGGGAUGGACUCGCGGCUUAUCAGCUUGUUGGUGGGGUAGUGGCUUACCAAGGCUUUGACGGGUAGCCGGCCUGAGAGGGUGACCGGCCACAUUGGGACUGAGAUACUGCCCAGACUCCUACGGGAGGCAGCAGUGGGGAAUAUUGCACAAUGGGCGGAAGCCUGAUGCAGCAACGCCGCGUGCGGGAUUACGGCCUUCGGGUUGUAAACCGCUUUCGCCUGUGACGAAGCGUGAGUGACGGUAAUGGGUAAAGAAGCACCGGCUAACUACGUG